GAUGAACGCUGGCGGCAGGCCUAACACAUGCAAGUCGAGGGAUAAGCCCUUUCGGGGGCUGUCACCAGCACACGGGUGCGUGACGCGUAUGCAACCUACCUUUCACAGGGAGAUAGCGCGAAGAAAUUUGGAUUAAUACUCCAUCAUCUUAUUAGAUGGCGUCAUUUGAUAUUUAAUACUAAGGUGGAGCAAGAUGGGCAUGCGUCCUAUUAGCUAGUUGGAGUGGUAACGGCACCCCAAGGCUACGAUAGGUAGGGGUACGGAGAGGGAGAUCCCCCAGACUGGGACUGGGACAGGGACCAGACGCCUACGGGAAGCAGCAGUGAGGAAGAUAGGGCAAUGGUCGGGAGACUGAACCAGCCAGGCCGCGUGCAGGAAGAAUGGCUUAUGGGUUGUAAUCUGCUGUGAUAUGGGAAGAAUAAGGUGUACGUGUACGUUGAUGACGGUACCAUAUGAAUAAGCAUCGGCUAACUACGUG
This 478-nucleotide ribosomal RNA is filed under the name uncultured bacterium. RNAcentral describes it as "partial 16S ribosomal RNA". It matches the Rfam family "Bacterial small subunit ribosomal RNA", at positions 28 to 507 of the family's 1533-position model. The record is from RNAcentral.